AUUGAACGCUGGCGGCAGGCCUAACACAUGCGAGUCGAACGGUAACAGGAAGAAGCUUGCUUCUUUGCUGACGAGUGGCGGACGGGUGAGUAAUGUCUGGGAAACUGCCUGAUGGAGGGGGAUAACUACUGGAAACGGUAGCUAAUACCGCAUAACGUCGCAAGACCAAAGAGGGGGACCUUCGGGCCGCUUGCCAUCGGAUGUGCCCAGAUGGGAUUAGCUAGUAGGUGGGGUAACGGCUCACCUAGGCGUCGAUCCCUAGCUGGUCUGAGAGGAUGACCAGCCACACUGGAACUGAGACACGGUCCAGACUCCUACGGGAGGCAGCAGUGGGGAAUAUUGCACAAUGGGCGCAAGCCUGAUGCAGCCAUGCCGCGUGUAUGAAGAAGGCCUUCGGGUUGUAAAGUACUUUCAGCGGGGAGGAAGGGAGUAAAGUUAAUACCUUUGCUCAUUGACGUUACCCGCAGAAGAAGCACCGGCUAACUCCGUG
Molecule: ribosomal RNA, 490 nt
Filed under: uncultured bacterium
Lineage: Bacteria
Description: partial 16S ribosomal RNA
Rfam family: Bacterial small subunit ribosomal RNA
Source: RNAcentral